GCUGCUGCACGCCCGGGGCGUACAGUUCACAGAUCAAACGCGGGUGGCCUGCGCUCGCAGGUUGAGAUAUGACCGUAGCAGCUCCGCCAGGAGUCCUGGCAUGCUAGUUCCGUAGGUGAACCUGCGGAAGGAUCAUUA
RNAcentral lists this ribosomal RNA (138 nucleotides) under Caloplaca stillicidiorum. RNAcentral describes it as "partial 18S ribosomal RNA". The record is from RNAcentral. Lineage: Eukaryota; Fungi; Ascomycota; Lecanoromycetes; Teloschistales; Teloschistaceae.